UCGGUGUACAGGUGGUGCAUGGCUGUCGUCAGCUCGUGUCGUGAGAUGUUGGUUAAGUCCCGCAACGAGCGCACCUUGUCUUAUGUUGCCAGCACGUGAUGGUGGGGACUCGUAAGAGACUGCCGGGGUCGAACUCGGAGGAAGGUGGGGACGACGUCAAGUCAUCAUGCCCCUUAUGUCCAGGGCCUCACGCAUGCUACAAUGGCCAGUACAGAGGGCUGCGAGACCGUGAGGUGGAGCGAAUCCCUUAAAGCUGGUCUCAGUUCGGAUCGGGGUCUGCAACUCGACCCCGUGAAGUCGGAGUCGCUAGUAAUCGCAGAUCAGCAACGCUGCGGUGAAUACGUUCCCGGGCCUU
This 355-nucleotide ribosomal RNA is filed under the name uncultured Rhodococcus sp. Its description in RNAcentral is "bacterial SSU rRNA". It matches the Rfam family "Bacterial small subunit ribosomal RNA", at positions 1027 to 1382 of the family's 1533-position model. Lineage: Bacteria; Bacillati; Actinomycetota; Actinomycetes; Mycobacteriales; Nocardiaceae. The record is from RNAcentral.